GAUUGAUAUCUGAAGUGUGAUUCGGCUACAGGUGUACUACUCUUAGGGAUUUUACUACACAGUCGGUCCAGGGGUUCUAUUUUUAUUUUUAUUUUAUUUUUUGGGGGGGGGGGGCGUUUUGAGUUGUAAUAACUGCAGGUAAUAACUGAUCACUCAUAAUGACUCCAACUGUUGCAGUCCUCCCACACCGUUCAACAGGACUAUUAACUCUUAAAUGGACGUCAGCCGUACUUCCUUCUGCACCGAGCUCCUGGAAGAGAGGCCUUUUUCACGUGAACGGCAUCUCAUCCAGGCUACAAUGCUCGUGAAAUCAACCGUAACCAUGAAGACCAAAUGACCGCUUCAGCCGUGAGGUGGUGGAUUCCAUAACAGAGGCGAUUCCAUAACUACACCACAAGAUUUCUGGCAUGAAUUCAAGACAGGACAGCUGCUGGCAAGUUAAAGAAUGAAGUUUGAUGCUGAACUUGCAGCGUUUCUUCUAGACUGGGUAAGUAAA
Molecule: long non-coding RNA, 496 nt
Organism: Scophthalmus maximus (turbot)
Lineage: Eukaryota; Metazoa; Chordata; Actinopteri; Pleuronectiformes; Scophthalmidae
Exons: 4
Source: RefSeq, a predicted model, not a curated record